CCUACGGGUGGCAGCAGUGAGGAAUAUUGGUCAAUGGAGGCAAGUCUGAACCAGCCAUGCCGCGUGCAGGAAGACGGCCCUAUGAGUUGUAAACUGCUUUUGUACGAGGGUAAACGCAGAUACGCGUAUCUGUCUGAAAGUAUCGUACGAAUAAGGAUCGGCUAACGCCGUGCCAGCAGCCGCGGUAAUACGGAGGAUUCAAGCGUUAUCCGGAUUUAUUGGGUUUAAGGGGUGCGUAGGCGGUCGGAUAAGUUAGAGGUGAAAUCCCGGGGCUCAACGUCGGAGUUACCUCUGAUACUAUUCGGCUAGAGAGUAGGAGGGGUAAGCGGAAUGUAUGGUGUAGCGGUGAAAUGCUUAGAGAUCA
RNAcentral lists this ribosomal RNA (364 nucleotides) under uncultured bacterium. Its description in RNAcentral is "partial 16S ribosomal RNA". It matches the Rfam family "Bacterial small subunit ribosomal RNA", at positions 338 to 699 of the family's 1533-position model. The record is from RNAcentral.